RNAcentral lists this ribosomal RNA (497 nucleotides) under uncultured bacterium. Its description in RNAcentral is "partial 16S ribosomal RNA". It matches the Rfam family "Bacterial small subunit ribosomal RNA", at positions 28 to 507 of the family's 1533-position model. The record is from RNAcentral.
GAUGAACGCUGGCGGCGUGCCUAAUACAUGCAAGUCGAGCGAACAGACGAGGAGCUUGCUCCUUUGACGUUAGCGGCGGACGGGUGAGUAACACGUGGGUAACCUACCUAUAAGACUGGGAUAACUUCGGGAAACCGGAGCUAAUACCGGAUAAUAUUUCGAACCGCAUGGUUCGAUAGUGAAAGAUGGCUUUGCUAUCACUUAUAGAUGGACCUGCGCCGUAUUAGCUAGUUGGUAAGGUAACGGCUUACCAAGGCAACGAUACGUAGCCGACCUGAGAGGGUGAUCGGCCACACUGGAACUGAGACACGGUCCAGACUCCUACGGGAGGCAGCAGUAGGGAAUCUUCCGCAAUGGGCGAAAGCCUGGCGGAGCAACGCCGCGUGAGUGAUGAAGGUCUUCGGAUCGUAAAACUCUGUUAUUAGGGAAGAACAAACGUGUAAGUAACUGUGCACGUCUUGACGGUACCUAAUCAGAAAGCCACGGCUAACUACGUG